UACGUAGGUGGCAAGCGUUGUCCGGAAUUAUUGGGCGUAAAGAGCUUGUAGGCGGUUUGUCGCGUCUGCUGUGAAAAUCCGGGGCUCAACCCCGGACUUGCAGUGGGUACGGGCAGACUGGAGUGUGGUAGGGGAGACUGGAAUUCCUGGUGUAGCGGUGAAAUGCGUAGAUAUCCGGAGGAACACCGGUGGCGAAGGCGGCUUCCUGGACCGACACUGACGCUGAGGCGCGAAAGCUAGGGGAGCAAACGGG
RNAcentral lists this ribosomal RNA (253 nucleotides) under uncultured bacterium. RNAcentral describes it as "partial 16S ribosomal RNA". It matches the Rfam family "Bacterial small subunit ribosomal RNA", at positions 524 to 776 of the family's 1533-position model. The record is from RNAcentral.